This 365-nucleotide long non-coding RNA is filed under the name Bos taurus (domestic cattle). Its description in RNAcentral is "long non-coding RNA NONBTAT020359". The record is from RNAcentral. Lineage: Eukaryota; Metazoa; Chordata; Mammalia; Artiodactyla; Bovidae.
CUGAACUACAGCCUGCACGCUUCUGCAGUUACUGAUUUAAAAAGCCGACCGUGGGGCCGAGCCUGGAGCUGUCACCGUCUUAGCACAGCAGGUCCUGCAGGCAAAGCAGGUCCCCCUCCCCAGGACUCGGGCCUCCGUAGUCAGUCUUGUGGCCUUUCAGGGUCAGGGAGACUGCUUCCAGGAGUGGACGGUGAUGUGAACUUCCAUCCUGCCCACUCACUUUAGGAAGCAAUGACACAGAGUUCAAAAUGGAUGGGUUUUUAAAAGACUGCAGAAAAAUAAAUUCUGAAAAGGCAAAGUCUGAAUUGUUAAAACACCUUCAUUAGUAUGUUUCUUCAGUCAAGGAAGCUUUUUCCAAGCCCUGU